This 880-nucleotide unclassified non-coding RNA is filed under the name Hevea brasiliensis (rubber tree). The record is from RNAcentral. Lineage: Eukaryota; Viridiplantae; Streptophyta; Magnoliopsida; Malpighiales; Euphorbiaceae.
AAAUAGGGCAACUAGUCCUCAAACUGGUGGUCAGCAAACAGGGGGAAGUUUGAAAUCAAUGAAAGAGAAAUCCAAUCAGCCAGAAAAAGAAGUGCAGGAGGCUUCUGGCUUAAAGACUGCCGGUCCCGAAGGAGAAAUAACUGCAGGUUUUUUGUUAAAGAAAAGUGCAAAAAAUGAUGGAUGGAGCAAGCUAUGGUUUGUUUUGAAUGAAAAGACUGGGAAGCUUGGUUACACAAAAAAGCAAGAGGAGAGACAUUUUCGUGGUGUCAUCCCAUUGGAGGAAUGCAAUAUUGAAGAGGUUUCAGGCGAGGAAGAGCCUCCCUCAAAGAGUUCAAAGGAUAAAAAGGCCAAUGGACCAGAUUCUAAAGCACCCAGCCUUGUGUUCAAAAUAACUAGCAAGAUUCCCUAUAAAACCGUUUUGAAAGCCCACAGUGCUGUUGUUUUAAAGGCUGAGACUUUGGCUGAUAAGGUUGAAUGGAUAAACAAGAUAUCAAAAAUUGCACAAUCUUCUACAGGACAAAUGAGAAAUGCUUCUCCUGAAGGUGGUUCUACCUUGCGGCAGAGUCAUUCUGAUGGUUCUCUGGUAUGUUACUGACUUAACUAGCUGCUCCAUUUUACUUUCUCAGAAUUACUUUUUGAGUACUUUUGCCGCUAUCAGGCCUUUGAUUCAAUUUCAUGGUGCUUACAACAAUGACUUACUGUUCUUUGUGGUUUGAUGUACUUGGUUCACUUCUCCAUUAUUUGGUAACCCUGUAAAUGGCAAUUGUAACUGGCAAUUUUUUCUACCACCUGCUUGUGUUUAUGUUCUGAGAGGACAUCCACUCAAUUUAGUACAUUUGUGGCUAGUGUUUCGAAGUUCUCAAAAAAAAAAAAAAAAAGG